UUGCUCAGUUCUACAACUAAUACUCUCUUUAUUUUAAAGUAUAAAAAGUUUUUUUUACAAAACAAAAAAUAAAAAGAUUUGAAUUUUUUAGAUACAUAACUUUUGUUAUGCACUUAGAUAUGUACUAUAUCUCUAUAUAUAGUUAAAAUAACGUAUAAAAAACAAAAAUGUCUAAAAAAUAACGCUGAUAAGUUCAAAAGAGUAAUUAAGUGCACGCUUAUACAUACAUUCAAAAAAAAAACCUAUAAAAAGAUGCCAAGUACUCCCUCUGUCCCUUUUUAAUUGUCGUCGUUGGUGUGCGUGCCACAAGUUUGAUUUGAUUUGUAGAAAAUACGUGCAACAUUUGUAUCCCCAAAUAAAUUAGUCAAAAACUAGAUUCAAAGAUCUUUCUAAUGAUACUAAUUAUGUAUUACAAAUAUUAAUAUUUUUUAAUAUAUAAUUGCUAGCAGUUGUUUUUCGGGAAGCGAAAGCGACAAUUAAAAAUGGACGGAAGGAGUAUGCCUGAAUCAAAGGAGGAGGAGGCAACGAAGCCAUCUCACAACCUAUAGGUCGUGAAGCCACGCUUUUAGACUUUUAGCAGCACUGUGCGAGGCAUCGGAGGC
Molecule: long non-coding RNA, 602 nt
Filed under: Sorghum bicolor (sorghum)
Lineage: Eukaryota; Viridiplantae; Streptophyta; Magnoliopsida; Poales; Poaceae
Description: long non-coding RNA (SBIC_LNC003500)
Source: RNAcentral